CCCUUAGACGUUCUGGGCCGCACGCGCGCUACACUGACCAGUGCAACAAGCAUCCGUCCUUGGCCGACGGGCCCGGGCAAUCUUUGAACGCUGGUCGUGAUGGGGAUAGACUUUUGCAAUUAUGGGUCUUCAACGAGGAAUUCCUAGUAAACGCAAGUCAUCAGCUUGCAUUGAUUACGUCCCUGCCCUUUGUACACACCGCCCGUCGCACCUACCGAUUGAAUGGUCCGGUGAAAUCUCGGGACGGCGGCUUGGUCGCUUGCGUCCGACUGCUGAAACUUGAUUAAACCAUAUCAUUUAGAGGAAGGUGAAGUCGUAACA
RNAcentral lists this ribosomal RNA (321 nucleotides) under uncultured eukaryote. RNAcentral's name for it is "partial 18S ribosomal RNA". It matches the Rfam family "Eukaryotic small subunit ribosomal RNA", at positions 1470 to 1796 of the family's 1831-position model. The record is from RNAcentral.